RNAcentral lists this ribosomal RNA (445 nucleotides) under uncultured bacterium. RNAcentral describes it as "bacterial SSU rRNA". It matches the Rfam family "Bacterial small subunit ribosomal RNA", at positions 354 to 796 of the family's 1533-position model. The record is from RNAcentral.
GUAAGGAAUAUUGGACAAUGGACGCAAGUCUGAUCCAGCCAUGCCGCGUGAAGGAUUAAGGUCCUCUGGAUUGUAAACUUCUUUUAUAAGGGACGAAAAAAGGCUUUUCUAAGUCGUCUGACGGUACCUUAUGAAUAAGCACCGGCUAACUCCGUGCCAGCAGCCGCGGUAAUACGGAGGGUGCAAGCGUUAUCCGGAUUCACUGGGUUUAAAGGGUGCGUAGGCGGGUUGAUAAGUCAGUGGUGAAAUCCUAGAGCUUAACUCUAGAACUGCCAUUGAUACUAUCUGUCUUGAAUAUUGUGGAGGUAAGCGGAAUAUGUCAUGUAGCGGUGAAAUGCUUAGAUAUGACAUAGAACACCUAUUGCGAAGGCAGCUUACUACGCAUAUAUUGACGCUGAGGCACGAAAGCGUGGGGAUCAAACAGGAUUAGAUACCCGAGUAGUCC